Molecule: ribosomal RNA, 646 nt
Filed under: Pseudomonas laurylsulfatiphila
Lineage: Bacteria; Pseudomonadati; Pseudomonadota; Gammaproteobacteria; Pseudomonadales; Pseudomonadaceae
Description: bacterial SSU rRNA
Rfam family: Bacterial small subunit ribosomal RNA
Source: RNAcentral
GUCGAGCGGAUGACAGGAGCUUGCUCCUGAAUUCAGCGGCGGACGGGUGAGUAAUGCCUAGGAAUCUGCCUGGUAGUGGGGGACAACGUUUCGAAAGGAACGCUAAUACCGCAUACGUCCUACGGGAGAAAGCAGGGGACCUUCGGGCCUUGCGCUAUCAGAUGAGCCUAGGUCGGAUUAGCUAGUUGGUGAGGUAAUGGCUCACCAAGGCGACGAUCCGUAACUGGUCUGAGAGGAUGAUCAGUCACACUGGAACUGAGACACGGUCCAGACUCCUACGGGAGGCAGCAGUGGGGAAUAUUGGACAAUGGGCGAAAGCCUGAUCCAGCCAUGCCGCGUGUGUGAAGAAGGUCUUCGGAUUGUAAAGCACUUUAAGUUGGGAGGAAGGGCAUUAACCUAAUACGUUAGUGUUUUGACGUUACCGACAGAAUAAGCACCGGCUAACUCUGUGCCAGCAGCCGCGGUAAUACAGAGGGUGCAAGCGUUAAUCGGAAUUACUGGGCGUAAAGCGCGCGUAGGUGGUUUGUUAAGUUGGAUGUGAAAGCCCCGGGCUCAACCUGGGAACUGCAUUCAAAACUGACAAGCUAGAGUAUGGUAGAGGGUGGUGGAAUUUCCUGUGUAGCGGUGAAAUGCGUAGAUAUAGGAA